This 497-nucleotide ribosomal RNA is filed under the name uncultured bacterium. Its description in RNAcentral is "partial 16S ribosomal RNA". It matches the Rfam family "Bacterial small subunit ribosomal RNA", at positions 28 to 507 of the family's 1533-position model. The record is from RNAcentral.
GACGAACGCUGGCGGCGUGCCUAAUACAUGCAAGUUGAGCGCUGAAGGUUGGUACUUGUACCAACUGGAUGAGCAGCGAACGGGUGAGUAACGCGUGGGGAAUCUGCCUUUGAGCGGGGGACAACAUUUGGAAACGAAUGCUAAUACCGCAUAUAAACUUUAAACACAAGUUUUAAGUUUGAAAGAUGCAAUUGCAUCACUCAAAGAUGAUCCCGCGUUGUAUUAGCUAGUUGGUGAGGUAAAGGCUCACCAAGGCGAUGAUACAUAGCCGACCUGAGAGGGUGAUCGGCCACAUUGGGACUGAGACACGGCCCAAACUCCUACGGGAGGCAGCAGUAGGGAAUCUUCGGCAAUGGACGAAAGUCUGACCGAGCAACGCCGCGUGAGUGAAGAAGGUUUUCGGAUCGUAAAACUCUGUUGGUAGAGAAGAACGUUGGUGAGAGUGGAAAGCUCAUCAAGUGACGGUAACUACCCAGAAAGGGACGGCUAACUACGUG